RNAcentral lists this ribosomal RNA (483 nucleotides) under uncultured bacterium. RNAcentral's name for it is "partial 16S ribosomal RNA". It matches the Rfam family "Bacterial small subunit ribosomal RNA", at positions 30 to 506 of the family's 1533-position model. The record is from RNAcentral.
AUUGAACGCUGGCGGCAGGCCUAACACAUGCAAGUCGAGCGGAUGAAGGGAGCUUGCUCCUGGAUUCAGCGGCGGACGGGUGAGUAAUGCCUAGGAAUCUGCCUGGUAGUGGGGGAUAACGUCCGGAAACGGGCGCUAAUACCGCGUACGUCCUGAGGGAGAAAGUGGGGGAUCUUCGGACCUCACGCUAUCAGAUGAGCCUAGGUCGGAUUAGCUAGUUGGUGGGGUAAAGGCCUACCAAGGCGACGAUCCGUAACUGGUCUGAGAGGAUGAUCAGUCACACUGGAACUGAGACACGGUCCAGACUCCUACGGGAGGCAGCAGUGGGGAAUAUUGGACAAUGGGCGAAAGCCUGAUCCAGCCAUGCCGCGUGUGUGAAGAAGGUCUUCGGAUUGUAAAGCACUUUAAGUUGGGAGGAAGGGCAGUAAGUUAAUACCUGGCUGUUUUGACGUUACCAACAGAAUAAGCACCGGCUAACUUCGU